UACGUAGGGGGCUAGCGUUGUCCGGAAUCAUUGGGCGUAAAGAGCGUGUAGGCGGCCCGGUAAGUCCGCUGUGAAAGUCGGGGGCUCAACCCUCGAAUGCCGGUGGAUACUGUCGGGCUAGAGUGCGGAAGAGGCGAGUGGAAUUCCUGGUGUAGCGGUGAAAUGCGCAGAUAUCAGGAGGAACACCGAUGGCGAAGGCAGGUCUCUGGGCCACUACUGACGCUGAGAAGCGAAAGCAUGGGGAGCGAACAGG
This 253-nucleotide ribosomal RNA is filed under the name uncultured bacterium. Its description in RNAcentral is "partial 16S ribosomal RNA". It matches the Rfam family "Bacterial small subunit ribosomal RNA", at positions 524 to 776 of the family's 1533-position model. The record is from RNAcentral.